AGUUAUACAGAGGAUAAAUAAAUUUAAUUUAAGUUUCUAGGAAGAAACAUCCAUUAAUUAAGUAAAGGAGAUUAAAAAUUAGUUUCUUUUAAUCCUGAUUAAGUACUGCAAGGGAAUAAAAUUAACUGUUUACUAGUAGUUAUAAAUAACGUACCUUUUGUAUCAUGGCUUAGCUAGAUUUUUAUCUUAGGAUAUAAGUGUCUCGAAUUCUAAUGAGCGAUUUUUGGUUCCUAUUUUAGUAGGUAUAAGAAUAACUGUGGCAAAAUUUUUCUUAAAACCAAAAAUAGAAAUGAUAUUUUAUUCGCAUUAGAAGAUAGCUAGUUUUUCCAUAAAGGCACAGAAGUGCUGGUUAUGCGUGCUCAGUUUUAAAAUUUUUUAAUACUGGUUAAGUAUAUCUGAAGCUUUUGAGGAUAAGCUCAAGAGUAAACAUAAUUAUAUAAUUCAUUCUUUUUUUAAACUUAGGCUUGAAAUUAGCUAAAAUAUAAAACUUGUUAUAAAGUAUACCGAAUAAAAAGAAAAGAUUGAUAUUAUAAGAAUUAAAUGGAAAAGAACUCAUAAAUUAUAAAGAGUUUUUUUAAUGCUAAGAUGAGUAUCUUAAAGAAUAUUAUAUUUUAGUUCAUUUAAAACUAAAAUUUAAUACAAUAUUUUAAAUUGAAAUUUUGUAAAGGAACUCGGCAAAAUUAGUUGCUCUGCCUGUUUAUCAAAAACAUGGCUCUUUGUUUUUUUACUAUGAGGAGUCGGACCUGCCCGGUGAAAAUAUUUUAACGGCCGCGGUACUCUGACCGUGCAAAGGUAGCAUAAUCAUUUGCCCUAUAAUUAAGGGCUAGUAUGAAUGGUUUGACAAGAGCAGCACUGUCUCUACAAAAAUUUCUAGAACUUAAUGUUCAAGUGAAGAAUCUUGAAUUAAAUUAAUAGACAAGAAGACCCUAUCGAGCUUAAAAAAACUAAGUGGAAUUUAUUAGAAACUAUGUUUAGUAUUCUUUUCCACUUAAAAUUUUGGUUGGGGCGACUAAGGAACAACUAAAGCUUCCUAAAUAUUCUUAACUUAUAGGUUUUGAUCCGAUUGUUUCGAUUAAAAGAAUUAGUUACCGUAGGGAUAACAGCAUAAUCCUUUUUGAGAGCCCAUAUCGAAAAAAGGGUUUGUGACCUCGAUGUUGGACUAGAAUAUCCAGAAGAUGCAGAAGUCUUCAAGGGUUGGUCUGUUCGACCAUUAAAAUUCUACAUGAUCUGAGUUCAGACCGGCGUGAGCCAGGUCAGUUUCUAUCUUUAAUUAUUGUUAUCUAAGCUCAGUACGAAAGGACCUGCUUAGAGCAAUGUUUGCAUACACUUGAUAGAGUAUAAUUUGUUUAUAAAUAAAUGUUCAAAUAAUAGUUAUAGACUUAAUUAAUAAAAUAA
This 1395-nucleotide ribosomal RNA is filed under the name Alviniconcha boucheti. RNAcentral describes it as "16S ribosomal RNA". It matches the Rfam family "Bacterial large subunit ribosomal RNA". The record is from RNAcentral. Lineage: Eukaryota; Metazoa; Mollusca; Gastropoda; Provannidae.